This 389-nucleotide ribosomal RNA is filed under the name uncultured bacterium. RNAcentral describes it as "bacterial SSU rRNA". It matches the Rfam family "Bacterial small subunit ribosomal RNA", at positions 97 to 520 of the family's 1533-position model. The record is from RNAcentral.
GGCGGACGGGUGAGUACGCGUGGGAACCUGCCCAAUGGUCUGGGAUAACCGCGGGAAACUGCGGCUAAUACCGGAUAAGCCCGAGAGGGGAAAUGAUUUAUCGCCGAUGGAGGGGCCCGCGUCCGAUUAGGUAGUUGGUGAGGUAACGGCUCACCAAGCCGACGAUCGGUAGCUGGUCUGAGAGGAUGAUCAGCCACACUGGGACUGAGAUACGGCCCAGACUCCUACGGGAGGCAGCAGUGGGGAAUAUUGGACAAUGGGGGCAACCCUGAUCCAGCAAUGCCGCGUGAGUGAUGAAGGCCUUAGGGUUGUAAAGCUCUUUUGCCGGGGACGAUGAUGACGGUACCCGGAGAAAUAAGCCCCGGCUAACUUCGUGCCAGCCGCCGCGG